CCUACGGGUGGCAGCAGUGAGGAAUAUUGGUCAAUGGACGAGAGUCUGAACCAGCCAAGUAGCGUGAAGGAUGACUGCCCUAUUGGUUGUAAACUUCUUUUAUAUGGGAAUAAAAUGUUCCACGUGUGGGAUUUUGUAUGUACCAUAUGAAUAAGGAUCGGCUAACUCCGUGCCAGCAGCCGCGGUAAUACGGAGGAUCCGAGCGUUAUACGGAUUUAUUGGGUUUAAAGGGAGCGUAGGUGGAUUGUUAAGUCAGUUGUGAAAGUUUGCGGCUCAACCGUAAAAUUGCAGUUGAAACUGGCAGUCUUGAGUACAGUAGAGGUGUGCGGAAUUCGUGGUGUAGCGGUGAAAUGCUUAGAUAUCACGAAGAACUCCGAUUGCGAAGGCAGUUCACUGGACUGCAACUGACACUGAGGCUCGAAAGUGUGGGUAUCAAACAGGAUUAGAUACCCGGGUAGUC
RNAcentral lists this ribosomal RNA (460 nucleotides) under uncultured bacterium. Its description in RNAcentral is "partial 16S ribosomal RNA". It matches the Rfam family "Bacterial small subunit ribosomal RNA", at positions 338 to 795 of the family's 1533-position model. The record is from RNAcentral.